AAGGGACCAACUGGAGGACAAUGAGAGGGAGCUGACUUGAUGUGACUCUUGUUUUAUGGGCUCCAUCUACCUGCUGUGUUGAGAAUAGACAGCAAGGUGCCAGGGUCGAGGUAGGGAGACCAGUGCAGAGGACAUCACAAUAAAUCUGGGGAGAGACGAUGAUAGAUAGCUCAGCACAAGAGGUUGAGAAAGGUUUGGAUUUCAGAUACAUUUAAUGUAGAGUCAGUAGGGCUUCUUGACUUCGGGAAUCUGAGGUAGGACAGAAGACAAAAAGCUAAAAAUGAUACCAGAGUUUGGCCUGACCACCUGGAAGAAUGGAGCUGCCCUUCACUAAGGUAGGGAGCAAUGCUGGAGGAAGAGGGGGAGUUCUAUUCAGGAUAUGCUACGUUUAUCCUAUUAGAGGGGACAGUUGGCCAUGUUGGUAUGAAGUUCAGGGAAGAGACCCAACUGAAGAUGUAAAUUUAGGAGUCUUUGGCACAAAGAUAGUAGAUGAAGUCUUGAGCCUGGAUGAGCUCACCAAGGAAACAUGUACAGAGAACCACAAAACCCAGGGCCAGGGGCCUCCAACUCCAUAAGUCUGAGAAAAGCUGAGCAACCACCCCAGGAGAAUGAGAAGUCAGAGGAGAAGGACCAGGACAAGAGGCUACCAUCUCCUUCUCAGACGCCAAGGAAGGAAGUGCCUCAGGGAGAAGGCAGUGACCCCCUGAGUCCAACGUCACUGGUCACUGGUGGCUCAGGUAGGAGCAAGACUUAGAAUUGACCAUUGUGUUUAGCAAUGGGGAAAUCACUGGACACUCUGAGAAGGACCCUUUAUAUAGAGUGAUAAGCACGAAAGACUCAUUUGAAUACCUUUAAGAGAAAACAGGAGCAGAAGAAUUGGAGACAGGGAAUUUCUGCUGCAGUGUUGCAGAGAAAAGAGGUGGUGCUAAAGAGAAGAAGGGCCAAAGGAAGUGAAACGUUAUUUUUUCUUAA
RNAcentral lists this long non-coding RNA (972 nucleotides) under Marmota monax (woodchuck). Lineage: Eukaryota; Metazoa; Chordata; Mammalia; Rodentia; Sciuridae. The record is from RNAcentral.